AUAUAUAUAUAUAUCUUUAUAUAUCUUUUAUAUUAUAUGUGAUAACGAUGAGGGAAGAAAGGUCCUACAUGAGGAUAAAGAGCCUUGUUUUGUAGCCAAGGAUGACUUGCCUGCAGCCUCCCAAGGGCUCUCUCUCUCUCUCUAAAUAUAAUGUGGCGCUAUAGCUAAGCUUGGUUUAGAAUCCUUGUGUGAUCUACAGGCAGUCUCCUUGGCUACCGAGACAGGUUCUUUUAUCUCAUGCUGGACCUCUUCUUCCAUGGGGCAACAGAUUUCCACCGGGAUGUAUGAGCUUCUUGAGGAACUCAUAGAUGAGUCAAGUUCGAAAUGGUCAUACUGUUAAUCCAAGUCACGAUAGUCAUGUGUUUGUUUCUGAUGGACUGAAACACUUAGUCUGAAAGAUGACUGCACUCUCACUGCAAGGGGGCGAGCUCAGUUAGGAAGCCUACAAUAUGAGGAGCUUUUAUAAUGAGUAGCUAUGUUGAGGAAUUAAAAUGACGGGGUCGAAUCCAGCAGUACAAUAAUGACUCUACACUUAAUCGGAUGGCUAUUAAGGACCCCCUGUACAAUAUGUGACCAUAUAUACUAGGCUCUACUAGCACCUACUAAAGGCAUUCACAAUCGUCCCCUUUUUUUUUUGUCGGGUCCAUGGGGCUAAUUACGCUUGUCAUGAAAACAUAAAACUCUUCAAUUAAGCAAAUAAUGUGACUUGAAAACAUAAAACUCUUCAGUUGCGCAAAUAAUGCGACUUGGCCCAAUUAGCGCAACUGCAAAUUCUCUAACUUAAAAUGUAUUCUAAAUGUGGGAUAUAGCUAAGAUGGUUGAGUUCUUUCACCUCUACUUAUGUGGACAGAAGUUCGAAACUUCCAGACAUCCAAUGAAUAUUUGUGUAAACUUCUUCUCCUAAUCACUUGUACUUAAAAAUAAUAUUCUGACUUCAACUCUUGUAAGAAAUAAAAAAUCGCAGUAUCAAACUGCGCCGUUUAGUGACGAUUUAUAAAAGAAUUCCCAAUUUGUUUUA
Long non-coding RNA from Prunus persica (peach), 1018 nucleotides. RefSeq lists it as uncharacterized. The transcript is spliced from 2 exons. The record is from RefSeq and is a predicted model, not a curated record. Lineage: Eukaryota; Viridiplantae; Streptophyta; Magnoliopsida; Rosales; Rosaceae.